RNAcentral lists this ribosomal RNA (366 nucleotides) under Alciopidae sp. USNM IZ 1449003. Its description in RNAcentral is "SSU rRNA". It matches the Rfam family "Eukaryotic small subunit ribosomal RNA", at positions 51 to 414 of the family's 1831-position model. Lineage: Eukaryota; Metazoa; Annelida; Polychaeta; Phyllodocida; Alciopidae. The record is from RNAcentral.
AUGCAUGUCUAAGUACAUACUUUUACAUAGUGAAACCGCGAAUGGCUCAUUAAAUCAGUUAUGGUUCCUUAGAUCGUACAAUCCUACUUGGAUAACUGUGGCAAUUCUAGAGCUAAUACAUGCAAAUCAGCUCCGACCUUCGGGGAAGAGCGCUUUUAUUAGAUCAAGACCAAUACGGGCUUGCCCGUUCCUUUGGUGACUCUGGAUAACUUUGUGCUGAUCGCAUGGCCUUGCGCCGGCGACGUAUCUUUCAAAUGUCUGCCCUAUCAACUGUCGAUGGUACGUGCUAUGCCUACCAUGGUUUUUACGGGUAACGGAGAAUCAGGGUUCGAUUCCGGAGAGGGAGCAUGAGAAACGGCUACCACA